AGAAGGGGAGGAAACUGGAAUCCAGCAGCGGCGAGCAGCAGCUGGGCGGUCACAUCUGGAAAUGGAAAGCCGACCUCCCCCUCCUCCUCCACCUCCUCCUCCUCCUCCUCCUUCUCCUCCUCUCACCCAGGAUCACUUCCGAAACCAGUUGGCCUUCAGCCCCUGCCUCGGCCAGAGGUUUCAUUUUUAACUGAAUAUUUACGAAAGCUGAAAGCGUGCGAGGGGGGUGGGGUGGAAAUAGCGGCUGCUUCUUUUCCAAGGAUUUAUUUAAUGGGGAUGUGUUCAAGGCAAGACCGAAUUCAGAAGGAUAUCGACGUCGUGAUCCAGAAGUCCAGAGCUGAGGACUGCCUGUUUGCAGCUGAAUGACCUGUCCUGGGCCAGUGAACCUGGACUUCAACCAGAUGUCAGAAUCUCAAGGUACAACCAACAUUUUCGCUCCAUGUUGGGUCAAAACAGUUAACACAGCCAAGAUAUUCAAGGUUUCAGUAGAUACUGACUAAGUCCUGGCCAGCUGUGAAAAGAAAGAGGCUGGAGUGCAAUGGCAUGAUCUCAGCUCACUGCAACCUCUGCCUCCGGGUUCAAGUGAAUCUUCUGCCUCAACCUCCUGAGUGGCUGGGAUUACAAGUGUAGGCCACCAUGCCCGGCUAAUUUUCUAUAUUUUCAGUAGAGAUGGACUUUCACCAUGUUAGCCAGGCUGGUUUCAAACUCUUGACCUCAGGUGAUCCACCCACCUCAGCCUCCCAAAGUGCUGGGAUUACAGAAUAUAAAGUGCUAACAUGAGAUAUAACACAAUACCAUGACUCCAGUGUUGCCCGAAUGUUAUGAGAAGUUAUUUUUGAACUUAAGAUCGGCCCUUUCUUCAAAUAAGAGCAGUUGGAACAACAAAAGCUGUUCAGUUGUACCCUUGGAAUCCACGGAAAUCCUGGGUAGGGAAGCUCCAGUACCACCAACUGGAAAGACUGGGAAUGCCUAGUAGCUGGUACUGGCCAUUGUCGUAGGCUUUGUCCACUUUGACAAACUGAAGACGGGGACUCGACUCACCUUCGCCAGCCACAGGAGGACCUCCAGACGAGGACCGGACUCGCCGCCUUUCUUUCCCGUCAGAAAGGGAUCCCUUGCGGACAAGACCGAAUGGCCCCUAAGGCUUCUCUGCAGGUCCAACCGAAACAGGCCUGAAGUUCCAGGAUGGGCGAGAGGAUCCUCUUUGAGCGAAACCAGCCUUCUGCCUGGCUGGCCCUGGUCAACACACUCGGAAGAGGCCGAUUUGGAGGACAGAACGGAAGAAAAGACCUAAAGAUGAUCCUCAUCCAAUCACUUAAAGGCCUGAAUAGAACCAAAAGUCUGACCUGCCCAUGAGUAAGAGAGAGCUCCUUCUGCCUGAUUGCUUCAGCUGAGAUAUCAGCCUUUUCCUGCCUUUGGAAUUGAACUGCAACACUGGCUCUUCCUGGGCCUCAAGCCUGCCAGCUUUUGAACUGUAAUCACACCAUCAUCUCUCCUGGUUCUCAGGCCUUUGGACUCAAAUCAGAAACACACCAUGGGCUCUCCUGUGUCUCAAGCUUGCCAACUGUGAUCUUGAGACUUCUCAGCCUCCAUAAUCACAUGAGUCAAUUGUUGGUUCUGUUUCUCUGGAGAACCCUAAUCCAUCACUUUACAUAUUUCUUCCAUUACACAUAUUGUUUCCCAGCAUAUUAAAUAAUUUACUGAUUAUA
RNAcentral lists this long non-coding RNA (1709 nucleotides) under Homo sapiens (human). Its description in RNAcentral is "long intergenic non-protein coding RNA 1138". Lineage: Eukaryota; Metazoa; Chordata; Mammalia; Primates; Hominidae. The record is from RNAcentral.